This 301-nucleotide ribosomal RNA is filed under the name uncultured bacterium. Its description in RNAcentral is "partial 16S ribosomal RNA". It matches the Rfam family "Bacterial small subunit ribosomal RNA", at positions 509 to 807 of the family's 1533-position model. The record is from RNAcentral.
CAGCAGCCGCGGUAAUACGGAGGGGGCUAGCGUUGUUCGGAAUUACUGGGCGUAAAGCGCACGUAGGCGGCUUGGUAAGUUAGAGGUGAAAGCCCGGAGCUCAACUCCGGAAUUGCCUUUAAGACUGCCGAGCUAGCAGGUGAGAGAGGUAAGUGGAAUUCCGAGUGUAGAGGUGAAAUUCGUAGAUAUUCGGAAGAACACCAGUGGCGAAGGCGGCUUACUGGCUCAUACUGGACGCUGAGGUGCGAAAGCGUGGGGAGCAAACAGGAUUAGAGACCCGGGUAGUCCCUGUCUCUUAUAC